AGGGGUGUAGGCCAAUGGUAGACCGUCGCUCUCCAAAAGCGAAUACGGGGGUUCGAUUCCCUCCACCCCUG
Molecule: transfer RNA, 71 nt
Filed under: Candidatus Woesebacteria bacterium
Lineage: Bacteria; Candidatus Woeseibacteriota
Description: tRNA-Trp
Rfam family: tRNA
About the family: Transfer RNA (tRNA) molecules are approximately 80 nucleotides in length.
Source: RNAcentral